UACGUAGGUGGCGAGCGUUGUCCGGCCUUCCUUUUUUUCCCUCUCUCUUAUUCUUUAUUCCAAUUCCUCUUUGAAAUCGCCCGGCUCAACUGGGCGCGGUCGGUGGAAACUGGUCACCUGGAGGACGGUAGAGGCGAGUGGAAUUCCCGGUGUAGUGGUGAAAUGCGUAGAGAUCGGGAGGAACACCAGUGGCGAAGGCGGCUCGCUGGGCCGGCCCUGACGCUGAGGCGCGAAGGCGUGGGGAGCGAACGGG
This 253-nucleotide ribosomal RNA is filed under the name uncultured bacterium. RNAcentral describes it as "partial 16S ribosomal RNA". It matches the Rfam family "Bacterial small subunit ribosomal RNA", at positions 524 to 776 of the family's 1533-position model. The record is from RNAcentral.